Long non-coding RNA from Triticum aestivum (bread wheat), 1950 nucleotides. RefSeq lists it as uncharacterized. NCBI's taxonomy places the organism in Eukaryota, Viridiplantae, Streptophyta, Magnoliopsida, Poales, Poaceae. The record is from RefSeq and is a predicted model, not a curated record. The transcript has 6 exons.
UCCCUACCACUCCCCAAGGAGGGACGCACGCCGCCGUACGGAGUCAUCACCAACCACUCCUCCGCUUCUCCCUCUCUCUCCACGCCCACGCGACGCGAUGCAUCCUGGAUUGGAGGAAUCGAACGUCGCCGCUCCGCCAUGUUUCGUUAGGAACCGAAACAAUGGGCACCGCAGCCGGCGGCCAACAGUGGUGUCGCGGUACCAGCAGGGAAGCUCAAGGACGCCACCACCGGCGUCGGCCAACCUGGUGCGGUAGGAAACAUGCACGUGCUCGGGGACAUUGGCAACAUCAUCCACGCCACGGCCAGGUCCUCGAUGGCAGGAUCCAUCUACUGGCCCGGCAGGGAUCAAUCGCCCAAUCAUCAGGACGUUCAGCGCUCAACUCUUGAAGAAGGCCCAGGCCGAUCCAUCCAUGAACGGCGUAGAACUGAUUCUUAAUUCCUCCAGCAGCGCGGGCAGCCCUGAAGCCCCCUCGCUGUUACUCGCAGGUCGAUUGGCACCGGCCGCACUCCAACACUGAGGAUGGUGAAGAAUGCAGUUUUUCCUUUUCUUUUUGUACACAAAUGAGGCAAUGCAGUUGGCAUCGACAGCUGCUACUCGCUGGCCUCUCCUGGAGCGCAGGUUGCCAUCACCGUCCGCCGCUUCGAUGCUCGACUGCUGCCCCACGGACUCAUUCGCCACACCCCUACAGCCGACGCUCCUGCCCUCCACUCUGUGCCUAUCAUGAUUUUGACUCCCUGCCAAUACUGCCACCCCGCUGCCGUGGCUGAUUUUUCUUUGUACAUGCAGGGAAAUUAAUUAUAUGCAUGUUCUGAACUGUUGCCUGAUUCCCACUAUUGCUGUUCGCGGGGAUAGUACAGCCUAGACUCUUCAGUAGGUGCAAUGGCAAUAAAGCUUAUGAGCUCAUUUUUAACAUGUACGUGAGCAGUUGACUUGCGUGAAACAAGUAUGUGCCUUGCUUAUAAAUAAAGCCUUGCAUGAUUUGCUCUUUAACUGAUGGACUGAGGAGGAGGUCAGAGAUGUAUAACAAACAUCUUGAUCCAAAUGACAAGUAUGACAGGGCUAACCUGCUUACCUAGAAUUUUACCACAUCCUAAGACUUCCAAAUCUGUACAAUAGGAAUAGCUAGCUGUUUUCUUGUCUACAACUCUCACAUGUAACAGCUUCUCUCACCAUGUCUUCAUGUAGUGUUCAGGUAUGAUUCUUGCGUACUGUCGACAAGGGCGCGAUGUAUUUCCUGAACUGUGUUUUUUUUUUUUGCAUAAUGGUUAAGCUCGGUUUCAACUUCUACCGAGUAUUUGAUAGUGAAGCCUGAUGCAGAUAUUUGAGCAAAAAACAAAAGGCCGAUGCAGAUAUUUGAGGGGAAAAAAGCCUGAUGCAGAUAUAUGGAGGUUAUGCAGUUCCAUUAGCUCUAGAGUUGUCCUCUAUACUGAUGAGGCCUACAUUUUUUGCUCAUGCAGGUUGGAGGGAAACAUGAACUCUGGCAAUCCAAAAUAGCAGACAUAAAACAACUGAAGCUCAUGCGAUGCAGUAUGUUGUGAAGAACUAUGGCAGAGCCUUGUUUGUAUCCAUGUCUAAUGUAUUUUCAUACUGAAUCAAUUGUUGACAAGAAUUUGCCCGUGCAUUUGGUCCUAUCACUGACAACAAUUCGAACAUGUCAAUCGGGGAAAGGUGAUGAGAGAAAUUCAGAAUGGGGACAAAAUGGUCUUCACCACUAGCGGACUCUUCUAUCCCACUGACUCCCCGGAUGGCGUUGUAUUCGAGUCCAGCAAUUCAACUUAUGAACAUAACAUGUACGCUGAACCCAAGAGAGAAUGAGUUACAACUACUUUUUAUUAAUAUCUUUAUUCAAAGUUUGCAUCUCUAUCAUGUUCACUUGGAUAAUGACUAUACCUAUUAUACAUCCUCUCAAGUUCACACAAGAUAUUAGACACCGUCCAUUCUUUACUA